RNAcentral lists this ribosomal RNA (460 nucleotides) under uncultured Saprospiraceae bacterium. RNAcentral describes it as "bacterial SSU rRNA". It matches the Rfam family "Bacterial small subunit ribosomal RNA", at positions 338 to 795 of the family's 1533-position model. Lineage: Bacteria; Pseudomonadati; Bacteroidota; Saprospiria; Saprospirales; Saprospiraceae. The record is from RNAcentral.
CCUACGGGCGGCUGCAGUAAGGAAUAUUGGUCAAUGGAGGAAACUCUGAACCAGCCAUCCCGCGUGCAGGAUGAAGGGGCUCUGCCCUGUAAACUGCUUUUGAAUGGGACGAAAAAGCCUCACUUGUGAGGAACUGACGGUACCAUUAGAAUAAGCACCGGCUAACUCCGUGCCAGCAGCCGCGGUAAUACGGAGGGUGCAAGCGUUAUCCGGAAUCACUGGGUUUAAAGGGUGCGUAGGCGGUUGUAUAAGUCAGUGGUGAAAGGCCGUAGCUUAACUAUGGGAUUGCCAUUGAUACUGUAUGACUUGAAUGAGGUUGAGGUUGGCGGAAUGUGGCAUGUAGCGGUGAAAUGCUUAGAUAUGCCAUGGAACAUCGAUUGCGAAGGCAGCUGACUGGACCUGAAUUGACGCUGAGGCACGAAAGCGUGGGGAGCGAACAGGCUUAGAUACCCCGGUAGUC